UUUAUACUAAAUGUGAAAUGAUAUCAGCCAUCUUAUCAUUUAAUCUAAUAGCUUGGAUGAGAUCAUGAGACCAAGUUUCUAAGAUACCUAAGGUACACCAUUAACAGCCCCGACCAAAUCUCUUCUCUCUUGAGCGAUCCCUUUUGCAGUCUCCCUCCCCUCCUUCUCCAUCGGCAACUCCUCCUCCUCCAUUCUUUCAGACAUGACUUCUAGAUUCAUCCAGGACAUCCUCAGUUCCCUUGCCUUCUAUGGCCAAUCUCAGCACCUUUUCAGCCUCUCUGUCCAUUAAGAGUUCCACACGGAUCUCUCACUUGAUCACAUCUCAACCAUUCUUCCCACAUCCUCUGGCUACUUCCUCAUGAUUACCUCCACAGAACUAAGCCAUUUAGCCCCUUCUGUAUCAUCGGCCUGUCCACCAAGCGCUGAGCCCAUCCAUUGUCUACACCUUUGCCAAGCCAAGUGUUUAUCAAGCUAAAUGACUGCAAAAUUGGCUUAAUUUGUUUCUGAACCUGAUCAAUCUGAGCUCGAGCUGGGUCAGUAUUUGAUGAACCUAGCUCAAGCUGCAUGGUUGUUUGGAAUUUAGCUCUAGCUGGGCCUGGCUCCACUAAUUUUGGCUCAUUUACACCCAUAGACUUCACUUUUAUUUUUAUAGAGUAAAAUUUGAGCAGUAAAUGGGAAUAUGUUCUCUCAUAGAAUAUAGCAUAUUAGAAGUAAACAUGAAUCCGUUCUGUGCUUGUGAGGCAUUAUAUCAGUUGAUAUGACAUCUGAAUUGAAGACAUAAUGAAAGUGACCUCAACUCACCCACCUCCAUCUAUACACCAAAAUGUACUUUAAUACAAACAGAAAAAUAUCUGUGGUUUGGGAGAACCACCAAGAAGGCCAUCUCAUUGUUAAGCAACAUAGGAGAACAAAAGAACCUCCACAUCAGUAGAAAAAAAGCAAGUAAACAGACCAAACCAAUAUUGAUGAUUCCAAUAUCAAAGAGAAUAAUUCAUCAUCCUUUAGGCCAGAAUUUUAGUCUACAGGGUAAAAAGGUCCACUUAAGGAUUAGUUUGAUUGGCUUGAAACAAUUGAUUCACACCAGAAUGGGCUCAUAAUCAGUACAGUUUUGGGCCAUGACGUGAUGAGGCAUUUCUUCAUCAGAAAAAACAGUUAUGGCAGCAUAGCCCAGCUGUAUCGGUUGAUGUACCUGUCGUAUUGGCUGAUUCAUGUUGUUCUAGCUUAGAAAUGUUUUGUUUCCUAAUCUGUCUGUUCCAUUCAUCCACAGUAUACAUUUUUUUUUUUUUGGGGGGGGGGGAGGGGAGCAAAGAAACAUGACGAAAAAGAAUAUAUAAAAGAAGAGAGAGAGAGAGAGAGAGAGAGAGAGAGAGAGAGAGNNNNNNNNNNNNNNNNNNNNGAGAGAGAGAGAGAGAGAGAGAGAGUAGGAAGGAAAUUGUUGGGAGAGUGUCACAAUCAUCUUUAUGUUGUAAGAUACCACCAGUAGUGUAUUCUUUCAAAUUAAAUUCCUUGUUGUGCUUAAAAGAUGUGAAAUUUUGGGUGUCCUCACAUAUCUUUCUAAUUAUUUGCAUUACCUCAAUUAACAUAAUUUUGUAACCUAUAUUAGCAUUGAUGGUAGAAUUUGAUAUUCUUUGAAACUCAGAUAACAAUAGUUAGUACAAAUUUCUCAGACAAUAUUUUACAUUUUUCAGCCUUAAGUUAUUUUUUUUAAAUAUCUUUUAUUUUUUUAAAUAUCAGCUGUCAUGCUGCUUCAUAUCAAUAUCCUCUCUCUUCUUUUUAGUUAUUUAUUUUACUUCAAUAAACAUGAUUUCCUAUUGUGUUUACCAUUAUCUGUGGAAAAUGAUGAUACUUUUGAUAUUCAAAUAAGAAUGCUUAGUCAGAGAUCAUCUCAAAUAAUGUUUAUACAUUUUAUCUUUUCUAAAACGUAUUUGUUUGCUUACAGCAUACCGCCUGCCAUGCCACAUGGUCGAUUCACUUAUUUUGUUAGGGUUUAAAUGGGGUAUGAAUUAGGGCUUGAUUAAUUGUCUUGUGCUUGGCGUAUUUGUUUUUUCAGUGUUUGUAAGGUUAAUUGUCAUUAUCACUCAAACAAUAACUUCUAUAAGUUCCUCCUGGAUUAAGUCAUUUUUUAAGUGUUUUUGGUAUAUGAUUUGUUGUUUGAGUUAUUAUACAGGUGUUAGGGAAAGCACAUGAACUUCGAGUUAUAUUUGAUGAAUGGUAUGAGUGUAAAUGUGCUAAAUCCUUCCGAGGUUUUUGAAAUGAUAUCGAUGAGCUUCUAUCUCUUUCUCUAUUCUUCUUCAUCAUCUCCCUCUUUGCUAUUUUUCAUUCUCCAAACUAAUGUAAGGAUCUGAUUCCAAUCCAGCAACGGCUAUGAAUCUUGCACUUCCCUUCCCGCUCCUUCCUCUCUCUUCUUUCCCUCACAUCUGAUUGAGGGGCAAAAGAAAAUCCAUAUAUUGAUGUCUGAACCUUUGAGGCAGACUUCUCUCUUUAAUGACCAGCAUGUGGUACUUGAAGGUGACUGCUAAUUCCGAAUGACCUUGAAGGUGACUGCUAAUUCUGAGUGUCUUUUUUGUAUAACUAGGCCUUCUCAGUUACUUUUCUUUUAUACUUUUUCUUUUUGCUUUGUUCAUCUACUGCUUUUUUCCCCUUAUUUGGUAUGAACUUGCCUUUACUCACAUGUUGACUACAGACGUCCAAAUUAGUCACUCCUUCAGAAGUGCAUCCAUUCACACAAAUUGUCAAAAGAAGCCUUCUACUCCUAAAUUACUGUAAUUCCAUUACCAAACUGCUUCUUCCCUAAACCAUUAGAUCACUUCGCUCCCUCAUAUUACCAAUAUGCCAUUUGGUUUAUAACAGAAACCAACUAAAACUAAGGUUCUGCAGCGAGUCCUACAACGAAGUAAAUGUGCAUUUGUAUAGUGUGUUUUGAGAUGAACUCAAGGCCCGAUAUCAAGAGCUAUCAUCUUGCAACGUUGUCUGCUGGAACUUUGGAGUGGUUGCUUCUUAGUUGGGUGAGCUUAGACUGCAACUAAUAAAUUUGAUCUUCCUACCUGCCAACUGGUCGCUCUCCUGCCUAGGUUUUCCUAGGCCAGGAAGUGGGUACCAGUUUUAGAGUGUUGUCACUAGGCUGGCACCUAGUCAUAAAAUCUGCUUAAUCCUUUCACCAAGCCUUCUCAAGUUUGAGUUUUGUUCUAUAAUCAACCACAUAAUUGAUGGAAGAAAGUCUUGGAUGAUAUCGAUGGUUAUAUAGUGAAAUUUAUAUUUGUGUAGCAAGUGUGUAAAGUUAGUAAAUAUAAAAAAAUGCUAUAGAUUUUACUGAUGAGGACUUGGAACCAACAUGAUUCAUUGAUAUUUGAAUCGUAUGGAAGAAGCUUUAUGCUGAUUGUCUAUGGUCAAGAUGCCUUUUGUGUUGCCUAUUUUACCCCACUAGGUUUGAGAGGCGCCCGAUACAUGAAGAGCUGCUUUGUUUGAAUGAUGACCUGAAAUUUCUUUUUUAUCUGAAGGGGUUUUUAUGUGCUGGAUAUGUUUGUUUACUAAUAUAGUGACCAAUCUCUUUACAAACUAACAACUGCCUAUGUAAAAAUGUUGAGCGACUUACUAAAAGACGUAUACCACUUCCUUUCUUGUGCAGCAAGACCAAUUUCAGCGCCUGUUGCCUACCUUCAUCCAAGUAAUAGAUUUGACUGAGCAGGAGGAAGCUGAGUAUUGGAUGGUUGUGUCUGCUGUGUUUGAGGGAAAACAGAUCCUUUCUGUUCCAUCCAGUUCAAGUUACUCUGAGAAGUCAGGCCUUGAAGAUGGCAUCAAUAACAAGGUUAGCUUAUAAGCACACCUCUUAUGAGCAGGAAAAAGACUGAUGAAGAUACAAUACUCUAAUCAUAAACUGGUAUUAAAUAUUCUGCUACAUCCCUCAGUCCUGCCCCUAGCGGACUGUAUCAUAGAAUAAGUUCACUGAAUAUGUCAUUGCAUGAAUUUUCAACAUUACUUCUUGUUAAAGCAAACCUAAUUUACUUAAUGCCUCUGGAAUGGUUCCAAACUGUGCGGUAUCUAUUUUAUGGGGUCUGUUAGAUCAGUUUGAAGACUGGCUAUUUAAACUAUAAAUUAAUGUAAAGUUAAUCAGAAUAGAUUAUUGUAGAAUCGCUCAGAAUUGAUUUGGUAAAGAAGGAAUCCUGCCCUUGCAUCUUUUUCAUGCACAACCUAUUUGUGGAUCACUGCAAGAUGUUGAUAUGGAUUGUAUCAAUAGGUGCAUCUACUGAGGACGAUGCUUCAGUGGGAGGAGCAGAUGCGGCAUGGUUCAUCCAUGGGAGAAAGAAAGCAUGUGGCAAGCACAUACAGUGGAUCCAAUCCUAUAACUCCUGGUGAAGUUGUGAUCAUACGAUGGCCUCAUGGUGAGAUAAUGAGGAUGAGAUCUGGUAGCACUGCUGCUGAUGCUGCGAGGAGGAUAGGCCUGGAGGGGAAGCUAGUACUGGUAAAUGGCCAACUUGUUUUGCCGCAUACGAAGCUCAAGGAUGGUGAUAUAGUCGAAGUAAGGGGAUAACCAUUACUAUCGUGGAAACUUCUCACAAAGCUCACAUUUUGUCAAAUUACAGAGACUUGCUUUAUCAUCUGUUGGAUGGUAAAUCUAGUGCUGUUAGAGGAUAGUAGAGCCAAACCUCUUGUACAGAUCGAUUCUCAAAAAGGAUCUCUGAUCCUAUCGUGAUGUACAUGUACUUGUACAGCAAUAAAGAUAGUUCAAGUCCUUGAAUGCAACUUUGCCAUCAGGUAAGCUGUUAACAGUUGCAAUAGAUCAGUCUCAAGCAUCUUUUGAUGCAAUUAUACAUAGUUUCAGGCAAGACAAAACCACUGACCACCUCUCUACUGUUUUGGUCACUCUACAGGACAGUUUCCUCGAAGACAUCCCAAUUCUGUAUUUAAACCAAUGCUUCUCCAACACAUAUUUAUCCCCACAUCUGUAGCCCAUGGUUGCAACCAUAUGCUUUUUAAACAUCCACCGAAAAAACUAUGCUUUUUAAACCAAGAAAAAUUUCUAAUAAUUUAAAUUUUAUCCAUUUUCGAUUAGUUGCUUAACAGAUCCGCCAAAGUAAGGCAAGAAACUAAUAUUUAAGACGUUGAUAUGGUCUAGUAUAUUGAGAAGCAAACAAAUCAUGGUAGGUGUCUUUUUCAGCUGCAUGUCAAAGAAUAAAUCAAGUAGGAAAAGGGGAAAUCUUUUAUACAGAAGGAGAUUUGACAGAAAAGUUGGGGGGGCACCUUACUUCUGUUCAGGGAAUCGGGGAGCUCGUCAAUGCAAGACCUACCCUAUCCAUAGAAAAAGGAUCAAUUAAAUGAGAAAUCGACAAAUAGCUCCCCAUCUAUUUUUUUUUAUAGCACCAAAGUACCAUUACUCCGUAUACCCACAAAAGAUAAAAAGAAAACAAAAAACAUAGUUUAGUUGGUCUCGGAGGCAGUGUGAAUCAUGCUCUUGGAUGCUGUUGGACUCCUGAAGCAUCACUUGGUUCCUAGAAAUUGACGCUUGGGGGAAGGUGAUUUCUGAUCCCCACAAACUGAGACAAUUCCUCACUGGUAGAAUGCACCUAUCUAUUAUUAGCUGGAUGGUAGGAGUCCAAUGCUUUCAUGCGAACUGUGCUGUCUAAUGGCCUACUUUUCUGUGAUUGUGAUUGACAUCAGAUCUAUUUUGCAUUAACUAGAGAGGUUUUCUUUAGUAAUAGCUAGAUAUGAUCAGUGGAAGUGAUUUAUUAAUAUGUAUUUUAGCCUAAACUGAGGUGCUAUAGUUUGCAUUAACUAGAGAGGUUUUCUUUAGGAAUAGUUAGAUAUGAUUAGUGGAAGUGAUUGAUUAAUAUGUAUUUUAGCCUAAACUGAGGUGCUUUAAACCACUUAGUUGCUUCUUUUUAAUUGAGAAAAGGAUCUGACAGAUACUGUCACAUUCAAUGCGGGAGAUUGAUUUAGAAUUGUGAUUAUGUGGGGUAAGGGAGGUAACGGCAUACAUAAGAUGGAAGGGAAUAUGUCCAAGUUUACGAUCCCUUUAACACGGUAGUGAUGCCUAGCAACUUUUGUCCCGUUAACCAACCAAAAAGGGAAAAGAAACCCUUAACCCACUGUUGCUGGAAAUUGGACUCGGGGGCGACCAGUGGCUAAGAAGGAGGAGCUCUGGCAUGAGAUGGCGGAUGGCGGUCCGUCGGCGGGCGGCGUCCUUUGGGGGACCUGCAAAAAGCCAGUGGCCGAGGUUUCUGGCGCCGGCUCUCCGAUACUUAAGUCAGAGGGGGCUAAUGUGUAGAGAGGGAGAAAGUAUUUUCUGGAGUUUCAGAGUCCAGACCUGCUCUAAGAGGGAGGGGUUUUCCUUUUAUAGAGGGGUACAGGAUUACCUGCAAUGCGAUGGGGCGAACGGGUUACGUCAUGAUCGUGUGAAUUAAUGCACGAUCGUGUGAAUUAAUGCACAAUCGUGUGAAUUAAUACAUUGCCGUGGGAGAUCAGGUCGGAGCCAAUGAGUCGUCGUGGCUGAUCGGACGUAACUGAGUGGGCCAACUGCUUGCCGUGGAGGGCUUGAGAUCCGUAGAUAGCAUGCGCAUUGAUUGUUGAGUGAGCCGGAGAUCAGGCGGAGGCCAUGCGCAUUAAUUGUUGAGUGAGUCGGAGAUCAGCGGAGGCCAUGCACAUUAAUUGUUGAGUGAGUCGGAGAUCUGCGGAGGCCAUGCGCCUUAAUUGUUGAAUGAGCUGGAGAUCUGCGGAGGCCAUGCGCCUUAAUUGUUGCAGGGCAUGGUCCCCAAUCAAGCUGCAGAAGAAUGUGACCGCAGCAGGUGGAUAGUGAGAUCGGGCUUCCGAGGUCAAGGAUGCUAAGGUCGGGUGCCCGGGUCGAGCGUCUCGGAGUCGAGCGCCUGGCCGGGCGCCAGAUCGGGCUUCCGGUUGGGCAUCUUGAAAUCAGAUGCCUCUAGGUCGGGCGCCUUUAGGUCGGGCACCUCCAGGUCGGGUGCCUUCAGGUCGGGCGCCUCUGAUCACGUGCUGGUGAUGCGCUCACGUGUUUCAGGGCGAUUCAUUUUUCCCCAACACCCACUACCUUAAAAUUGGGUAUGUUAAAUAGAAUGAUUAGUACUUUUUUUUUUCUUUGGGUUGGGGGGGGGGGGGGGGGGAGCGGGGGGGUCGGUUUACUGAAGAAGAUAAGAUAUUUACAAAAAGAGUGAAAUUAGAUGAUCUGUAGGAAGUUACUACAAAUCCUUUACUCAAAUAAAUAAAUAAAUAAAUAAAUAAUAUAUUUUUUUAAAAAAAUAAAAAUAAUGUCAACAAAAGUAUAAUUUCAGUGAAGGAAUUUUUCUAAAAAAAGGUGGGGUUCGAGGUGUGCUAGACCUACAUCUAUGUAGAUGAAACCCAACUAAGUAAGUAAAAAAUUCCGUCCUCUAAAAAGUAGCCUUGAAAUUAAUCCAUAAGAGUUCAAUUUAGUAAAUAGAAAAAAAAGGUUUAAGUCCAUUGUAAAUUCCUUCAAUAAUAUACUUGCUUAAAUUGCUUCUACAUGAACUUCAAUUCUGCCAGAUCCAAUUCUUAGAUAAGUUAAAAGUUGCAAAGCAUCCGAAAAAAAGAAACCCUACUUUUAUACAAAAGUUUUUUCCUUCCGCAUAUUGAGCUCGUAAGUGGAAAUGUGAUUGAAAUGUGAUUGGUUAUACGACUCCUGUGGGGCUUCCUUUACCAUUAUCUUCUACUAGGAAUAAAAAAAAAAGGAUACUUUCUUGGAUAUGUAAUCUGUAGAUGCCAAGAUCAAUCAAACUUUUGGAGCCAAUCAUGUUUGCAUCCGUUGUUUACUUGGCAACGACUUUUUGAUGAUGCUUUGCACCUUUUAAUGGAAUCUCCGAAAAAAUAAAAAAUAAAGAAUAAUAAGGUGAAGACAAGAUUUCAUGUAGGUAGUGGCCUGAUCGACGUCCCUUUCAGAAAUUAAUCAUUCUUGUUAGACUACCAACUUAACUCUAAAUGCUAAUAUCCAUUAAAAAACGAAGUAGAAGAAGGAGAUGGAUAUCGCACCAACGAAAAAAGGUUGUGCAUUUCAAAAAAGCAUAAUAAAUAAAUAAAUUCAACAAAAAAGCCCUUGCGUAAAGCCCUCAGUGAAGAAUGAGGCAAAAAAACAUUGCCAUUUGUACCAAUACAUACAUACAUACAUACAUAUAUAUAUAUAUAUAUAUAUAUAUAUAUAUAUAUAUAUAUAUAUANNNNNNNNNNNNNNNNNNNNAUAUAUAUUAUUUUUUAAAAUUUUUAAAAAUAAUAAAAUAAUAUUUUUAUGAAAAUAAAUUUUUUAUUUUUUAUGAGAAAGAAAAACUCAAUUUAGAAAAGCUUUUUUUUCUCCGAUUAGAAAUUUAGAUUUUUUAAAAAAAUAUAUAUUUUUAAGUCAUCAAAAUUUGAGUAUUUUUUUUUAUUAAAGAUGUAAUAGGUAUUUCAUCUAAUUUUCAUUCUAAUUUUAAUCUCUUAUGAUCCCUUCCUGUGGGUUCCAAAACUCUUAUCAUAUCUGUCAUUAAGCAGUUAUGGCGAUGGAAGGGUCACAGUGGCCAAACGGUCAAAAAUCGUACCAUUUGACGCUGCUCUCCGUUAUACUGCAAUGAUAACCAUGUCCCUUAUCCCAAACCCCAUAAAACUCAAGCCUCUUGGGUCCUCCCAUGUCUAUAAAACCUAACCUUUUGCUUUUAUUAUAUGAAGCGGAGGGAGCUGAUGGAGAUUCAAUUUGCUCGUACAUAAAGAUUGAAAAAUUCAUGGAGUGAAAGCUCAUCUCUUACUAAUUCAUAUCAUUCGAGUAACUUAUGAUACUACCAAUCUACCAUGAGUAUCUUUCUAUCUACAAGGAAGCGGGUCGAGUCUCGGUGAUAAAUAAAGAAAUCGAAUUACUCCUUUUACAUGGGAUGGGAGUCACAGAAUCUGACAUAAUUGAAGUAGCGAAGUUGAGUUAUUCCUCUCUCACUCUUGUAAAAAUUCUCUUUUACGUGCCUUGCAUAUAUACCACAUUACAAUCCUUAAUAAUCAAAUUGAUAUGCUUUUUUUUCCUCAUCUCUUUCUUUCAUUUUUUUCUAUCAAUCAUUCAGUAAAUUUUUAAUCAUCUUACUUAAGGUAUAAAAAAAAGAAUCUAGAUAUUUUUCUAAUCAAUCUAUAUCAUAAUUGUUCAUGUUAGAGGAAGGUAAAAGUGGUCAAUCAAGAAGCUAUAAUGUUAGAUGACUGUGGUCCAUUCCGGCAACUGCUGUUUAUUCUGGUAGCUUAUAUUUCACAUGAUGGUAGCUUAGAAUGGUAGGUUAGAGUGGUAGCUUAGAACUAAGAUGUUUGUCACCUCCCAAUCUCAUUUCUCCCAGUCUACCCUGGGAAGGCUAGGUGGUACAUCACAUGGUGGGCUCUGUUGCAAACAAAACAAUGACCCUCCAUAAAAUACAUACAUAUAUACAUACAUACAUAAAUAUACAUACAUAAAUAUACACACAUAUAUAUACAUAUAUAUAUAUAUACAAAAAUAUGUAUAUACAUAUAUGUGUACGUAUAUAUACAUAUAUAUACAUAAAAUACAUACAUGCAUAUAUAUAUAUAUAUAUAGUGGGGAUUGAUAACCUACUCUCUGUUAUGAUAGGUUAUCAAUCUACCCNNNNNNNNNNNNNNNNNNNNNNNNNNNNNNNNNNNNNNNNNNNNNNNNNNNNNNNNNNNNNNNNNNNNNNNNNNNNNNNNNNNNNNNNNNNNNNNNNNNNNNNNNUUAAUUACUACCCUCCUCAACCUCCUAAUUAGUACUCUUUCCCUCCUCUCUCUCUCAUACAUGUGUGUGUGUAAACAUACAUACACACAUAUAAGUAUAUAUAUAUAUAUAUAUGUACUAUAUAUAUACAUGUAUAUAUAGGAAUAUUUUUUUCUUCAUUUUGGCUUCUUUGAAGAGUCCUAAUGCUGGAAGAAGACUAGAUAUGUCUUUGAUUUCUCUGGUCAUUUUUCUUAGGGCUCUCUCUCCUUUUAUAUAGGGAAAUCAAUCCUUACCUCCUCUUGCAUGCACUACAUAUAAUAAUCAAUAGUUAAAUAUAAUACCAAUUUCUCUUGCAACUCUAACCUUGCAAAAUCAACCCGAAACUUUCCAUAUUAUACUUAGGACCCCAUGUAUUAGUUCAUUAUGCAUUGGUUUGGGUUGUAUCUUCCAUGUAAAAGAGUGAUUCCCCCUUUUUUUUUUUGCAACAUUCAAAGAACUAUAAUCUUUAUCUUCCAUCUGCUGCACAGAUCUUGAUAUGGAUAUUGCAUGAUCCAAUGAUUGACGCUGCGAAAAAGAAAUAAUCAUUUUUUUCAUACGAAAGAUAUAACCCGAAUCCAUCAUGCCUGUACCUUUCAUGCACAUGGUACAAUUGCUCCCAAGAUUUAGUAUUUGCUACUUUCAUUAUCACAAGAGAGGACUGCUAUCAAAAGAGUUGGAAGGAGAGGACUGCUAGAAUUAUAUUUGAAGUAUAUCCGAUCAUUUUUAUAAGAUGAUUACACCUAUCCAAAUACUAGAGUCAAGAAUUGAAUGCAGUAGAUGCAACCAAACAACAUUACACAACUAUAGUAAGUGUAAUUAUUACAACAUGAAGAAACAAAAUGCUAGAGAUCACUUGCUAGUUUAUGGCUUAGUUCACCAGUCGAACGUAGAGAUCAGUGAUUAAUCGAGAACUUGAUUGACACCGCUAACUCGCCUAUGUAUCUCACCAUUUAGUGAUUACCACAUUAGUCCAACGACUCAAGGGUGAUUGAUGGCAGCACUCUUGCAACACAUGAUCACAAUUACAUAUAAAUUGGUUGGGUAUCACCAACCAAUUUUUUUAAAUAUAGUUAUAUAAAAUCUUUAUUUGCUCAUGGCCACAUGUAUUAAUUGCUCGGCAAGCUUGUUGCAUGUAAUUAAUUCGUGAGGGAGUAUUUAAUUGAUGAUUGUGAUCCCAUCAUUCCAAAAUUGUAUAUAAACAUUCUUGUACCUUUACAUCAUGCUUCUACUUAUCCUAGUUCCCCAAGGGGUAAAAAAAUCCACGAAGAGGAAUAGUCAUAAGGAGUCCAUGAGCUCUUAGGGCAGGAUAGCAGAAAUAAAUUUAAUAGAGGAAACAGGGCAACAUGAUUGUAAUCUCUUAUUACCACUAUGCUGAGGACAUCAUGUCAGUUUAAUGCUUUGAAGAAGUUAAAUGAUGAGCAAGAAAAAAAUAUCUUCAACAAAAAAAAGAAAAAGAAAAGGAGAACGUUUUAUUAAAUAAUUUUAAUAAUUUUAUUAAAAAAUAUCUCUUAUUACCACCUUGCAUAAUUUUCUUAUUUCCAAUUUUUCUUGUGUUUUCCACCUUAAAGAUUGGGUCGAGUAUUGUAAGAUCCAUAGCAAUUUAGACCACUGCAUUUGCGAGGCAAGCAACCCAACCCGAGGUCUUAUAUUGGCCACCGAAAAAUAAAAAUAGUAUAAAUAUAAAUAUACUAUAAAUAUAAAUAUAACCCAACCCAAUCCAACCCUCCCCCCCCAACCUAACAAAAAAAAAAUAUAUAAAUAUCCUCUUAAAUAUUGAAUUUUGUAUGAAUAUUUUUCUAAAUUAAUAUAUAUAUAUCCUCAAAAAAUACUUAUUUUGCUAUUCUACUUUUUUAUUUUAUUUUUGUAUAUAUACCUACAUCUUCUACCACCGUUAAAAAAAUUAACGAUUUCGAAUUAAAAUAAUUAAAAUAUUUUUAAUGGAUAGAUGUGCAAAAAAAUAUUUAUAAUGCAAUUGCGAUGAAAAAAUAAUAAUUUUAAUUUUUUAAUAAAAAUUAAAUAUAUUUUUUUAUUAAUGGCAUUAGCAUAACAGAAACAUUUGUACAAAAAUAGUGUCAUAUAAGGAUAAAAAAUAAAUAUAAAUUUAAAAAAUAAUUUGCAUAAACUUAAAUUUUCAGAAGGUCGUUAAGGAAAAAAAUUUAAAAAAUAAAAAUAAAAAAUAAAAAAUUGAUGAUUUUGACCGCUGCCUUCGACCCAGCUGCCAGUUCCAUGCUGGCCCACGUCACUGAUAAGGGAACGUUACACCGCUUUUAUUCCUCCCCACCAAAUAGGCAGAGAACCGACGGGCAUAUCGAGGCACGAUAAGCCUGCUUGCUUAUCGUUCUGACCCGCGAUAGCUACCGCUCACUACACGAGAUCGUGAUGCGUUGAUGGGCCGAUAAGAUAAGACCACCGGUUAAAGGGAUGUCAUAUAUUAUUUCUAUAAAAAUUAAUGAUAUUCGGGUUAUUUAAUAACCUUAAAAAAUGAGAAAUAAAGUGGAAGGCAAGGGCAGUGAACACGUACGAGGAGGAUGACGUGGCUCCCCUUUAGCCUCCGAUUAAUUACCGAAAUACCCUCCUACAUUUAAAUGACCGUUUUGACCCACCGGGCAUCGAUGGCAGGUCUGAAAUUAACGACGAUUAAACCGUUAAUACACCGGCCUAAGCUCUGAUUAAACCGUUAAUGCAGGAUCUUAGGAUCAACAUGAUGUGUAACAUAAUAAUUUUAAAAAAUAAUAAUUGUUAUUUAGUGGUCAUGUAAAGUUGAAAUGUAAAAUUGUGAAUGUAAUUUAAAAGGCUAACACAAUAUAAAUUAGAAUUUUUGCAUCCAGCAAAUAGUGAUCUAUGAUACCCAAAUGUCAAGAUUAUAUUAGAUUGACAUUUGGGUAUAAUAUUUUUAUAUAAUUUUUUAUAUAAUGAUUAUAAUAUUUUUUAUUUAUUAAGAAUAAUAAUAAUAAUAAUAAUAAUAAUAUAUUUUUAACGUCAUCUUUGGAUGAAAUUGGAUCGGAUCCUAGCAUACCUAUACCAUAUUCGUUUUGUUUGACAAAUGCAGAUAUAAAUAUAAAUAUUAGUCGAAUGCAAAAAUUCGCAUCCAUAUUUUUUUAAAUGGAUACAUAUAUAAAUUAGAUACUAAGAAUAUGAACAUAAAUACGGAUAUAAAUUGGAUAGUUAAACAAAAACAAAGAUAUUACUAAGUAGAUGAUAAAUUAAGUUAGUAGAAUGUUAAUGCAUUUAUUUAUUUUUCUUAGAAGUUUAUAAGUAUCAUAUAAAAUUAAAUAGAAUUACAAAUAAAAUCAGAUAUUCGGAUACGAAUAUUAUUUUCAUUUUUUUUUAUGGAUAUGGAUAUAAAGAUAGAUAUUAGUCGGAUGCUCAAAUUUUUUUUUAUAUUUGAAUAGAUUUGGAUACUAAAAUGGUUUCACUAAUGAUAGACCAUUAACCAAGUUAUUUUUUAUAGUUUUAAUUGUACCGUUUAAUUAUCAAUCCUGUGGGCAGAAUGGUAUUUUCAAAUAAAUAUAUUUCGAGAAUAUAGGGUAAAAUUGUUAAAGUGAGAGGUCAUGGGACAGAUGGAGAUACCGAGGUGAAACUAACUCGAGGGGUAUGUUGGGAAGUGAGGAAAGCGGGAAAGAGAACGUACAGCCAGAUUCCUCUUUUGCUAUAAAAGCGAGGAGAGAGAACGAGAUGGAGAGGGCGAAUCCAAGAAUGGGGCUAUAAAAGGCGACAAAGAAAGGGAGAGCUCAGAGAAUCCAACACGGCGCCAUAAGAGAUAAAAAGGAGAGUGGAGAGAGAGGCGGAGGGCUUUUCGAAACCCUAGAAAUCGCGAGGAGAGUCUCUAUCUCUCAGCUUCGAAUCCGGUUUCUCCCUGAUAUUUCUCUACUUGGUUUCUUCGGCAGGCGUGGUCCCAGAUCGAGGUCUCCUCUCGAUUCCUGCGAGAAACGAGCUUCUUCUUGCUUUAGAUCUGGAAUGGACGAAGAAACGAGGUCUUUCUCUUGAUUUAAAGCUGGACGGUGGGUUUUCUUUGUUUCUCUUGCUGUUUCUUUGGUAGAUGUUUGGCACGGCUGCGUUUGGUUGGUGGAAAGAAGGGUUUUUGUGGGGUUCUGAUGAGAUGGGUUGUUUGCUUGUCAGAUAUUGUUGGAGGAUGAGGUCUUUGUGAGAAGACGUGAAGCGGAGCCGGUGGUGGUUGGUUUUCUAAUUUCAAGUUUCUCUUGAUCUCAGCUCAAAUCUUUGAAAGUCGUGAGAUUCUGUGGGCUAAGGGGGUUUCAAGAAGGAAAAGUUGUGAUUUUUUAUCGGUCUUGGAAGUUUGUCUUUUUUCUGUUUCAGCUGUUUGUUUAAGGGUUCCGAUGACUGAGGUCUAAAUUUUAUCUCUGAAAGGGUUUUGAGGCUGGUCUGAAAGGGUUUUGGGAGGAAAGGGACAGUCGCUGGAGAUGAUAAAGGAAAGCUUCGUUAGGCUUUUGCUUGUCCUGUUGUUGUUUCCUGUUUAAAAAUCAAAUCUUUGUACUGGAGCGUUUAGGGAUUCCGGGAAGUAUGUCUUCCUUGAGUAGGGAAUUGGUUUUCCUUAUACUGCAGUUCUUGGACGAGGAGAAGUUCAGGGAGACGGUUCAUAAGUAAGUUGCCUUAUUUUCUUCAGCUAUUUCAAGAAAAAAGUUAUUUUGUCCCUGCUCUGCAUACUUACGUGGUACGUUUCCUUGGAAUUUUAGGUUGGAACAAGAAUCUGGCUUCUUCUUUAAUAUGAAACACUUGGAGGAUCAAGUUCUUGCAGGGGAGUGGGAUGAAGUUGAACGGUAUCUGUGUGGGUUCACAAAGGUUGAUGACAACCGGUAUUCCAUGAAAAUCUUUUUUGAGAUAGGGAAGCAGAAGUAUCUUGAAGCUCUUGACAGGUAUGACCAAUGUGUUUGAUACUUUACCGCCUAAAUUAUUGGUAAGAACUAGAACAUUUUGAAUUGGUUAUUGUGUUAAUUUCAGGCAUGACAGAGCAAAAGCUGCUGAGAUACUUGUGAAGGAUCUCAAAUCCUUCGCAUCUUUCAAUGUAGAACUGUUCAAGGAGAUCACACAAUUGCUUACCCUGGAGAAUUUCAGGUAAUUGUUGUUGGGUUUUGUUUCUAUUUUCCAUGAUGACUUGCAUUUCUUGGCACCAAUACGACUACUUUAAUUGUGCUUGUGCAGGCAGAAUGAGCAGCUCUCGAAGUAUGGUGACACAAAGUCUGCUCGCAAUAUUAUGCUUAUAGAGCUUAAGAAGCUCAUUGAAGCUAAUCCGUUGUUCCGUGACAAGCUUAUGUUUCCACCUUUCAAGGCUUCAAGACUACGGACAUUGAUCAACCAGAGGUAUCUCCUCUUUUUGACAUUACAUUUCAAGGAAAUCUAUUUUUAGUGAAAAGGAAUGUGAUGCAUUUUUAGAUACCGAGCCCUGCUGUAUUUAUAGAUCUAUUUCCAAAUCGAUAUUCCUUUGUCAACUUGAGACCCUUUCUUGUUCUUAAAAUGAUUGUGUUGAAUUCUUCAAGUUUUAUGAUACAUGACAUAUGAGACAAUAUGAUGUGCUUUAUGUUUCCUUCCACAUAUUUGAUUUAUGUGUAUAAUGAUCUCUGUAGAUGCAUAAACAGUAAUGGAAUUAAAUUCCAUGCAAGUCUAUAAAUUUACAGUAUUUGGACAUACUAGACGAUAGUGGAAGUAGGAUUUCGUUUUGCAUUUCAUUUAUCCCAUUGCUUGCCCUUAUGUUUCACUUUCCUUGAUAUCCUACUUAUUUGUGCUUUUGCUUGUAGUUUGAACUGGCAGCAUCAGCUUUGCAAGAACCCACGACCCAAUCCGGAUAUCAAAACACUUUUUACUGAUCACUCAUGUGCUCCUCCUACUAAUGGAGCGUGUGCUCCUCCACCCACCAACGGCCCCCUUGUAGGACCUAUUCCAAAACCAGGGGCAUUUCCUCCUAUUGGUUCUCAUAGUGUAAGCAAAUUGUUUUAUCUCUUAUCUGGUAAAGCGGUUCCACCAAUUCCGGGCUGCUAACUAAUGCCAUUCCUGCUUACCAUGCAGCCAUUCCAACCAGUUGUACCUCCAUCUGCAAGUGCCAUUGCAGGAUGGAUGUCGAGCGCUAACCAAUUGAUGCCACACGCUGCUGUGGCUCAAGGUCCCCCAGGUCUUGUGCAAUCUCCAACCACAAGUGAAUCUCUUAAACUCUAGAAUUAUCAUAAGCAGAGAAUAUCUCAUAUUUAUCAUUUGAGUUCUCAGAAAAUGUGGCUAUAUGUUUUGCAGCAGCAUUUUUUAAGCACCCAAGGACUCCUACAAGUAUUCCUAGUAUGGACUAUCAAACCGCUGACUCUGAGAACUUGAUGAAGAAAAUGCGCACUGGCCAUUCAGAUGAGGUUGAGAAUAACAAUGUCAAAUUCUAUAAAUAUACUGCACACUGUAAUUUGGUGUUCUCUGGGUAUGAUGCUUCCAUUUAUCUUUGAAAAUAUAACCAGAAAGAUUUUUUUAGGUGUCAUUCUCUAGUGCAAGUCAUCCUCCCAACAUUUAUACUCCCGAUGAUCUCCCCAAAACUGUUGUGCGGGUCCUCAAUCAGGGUUCCAGUGUCAUGAGCUUGGACUUCCAUCCGCAACAACAAACAAUUCUUCUUGGUGGAUACUUUGAUCCGACAACUACAUUGUCAUGUUAGCAAUCAUUUAUUUUUUUUGAAUUACAUUCUGUAUACUGAUAUGUGACUGAAUUGUGGUUUGCAGUUGGAACAAAUGUUGGUGAUAUUGCAAUAUGGGAAGUUGGAUCUCGAGAAAGGAUAGGACAUAAAACAUUCAAGGUUUGGGAUGUAAAAUCUUGUUCGAUGGCCUUACAGGUAUUGUUUCUUUGACUGAGCAUGGAUAGCCAUUGUGUUUGCUCGACUUAAAAUGCUCUAUUUGUUGAGGAGGUUCGUUUGGGUAACUUGUGCUAUUUCUUAAAUAUUCCUUUCUAAUAAUUUUAUAUUCAGGCAGCAUUGGUGAAAGAUGCAAUGAUUUCUGUCAAUCGAUGCUUAUGGAGUCCUGAUGGAUCUGUUCUUGGUAUAGCCAAAAGCAAGAUUCUUGUUUGCUAAUGCACUUUCCAUUUCAAUAUGGAUGCCUUUCUGUCAUAGAAUAGGGAGUCUUUUCAACUUGACAAGUUUUGUUUUACUCACAGUCAUACUCAAGAUCUGCUAUGUGAUUUCUUGUAGGCAUUGCAUUUUCAAAGCAUAUUGUGCAGACCUAUGCUUUUAUUUCCAAUGGAGAGUUGCGGCAAAAAUUGGAGGUCAGUUAGCAGUUUGUCCUAGCAGCUCUAUAUUUGCUUCUAACUUGUGACUUUUUUCUGGAUACAUAGAUUGAGGCUCAUAUUGGUGGUGUCAAUGAUAUUGCCUUUUCUCAUCCCAACAAAAGUUUGUCAAUAAUCACAUGUGGCGAUGACAAGACAAUUAAGGUUAAUCAAUGAAGCCCUAUGCUGGUUUUUGGAAAGAUAAUGAAAAGGUCAAGAUGAUGUUCACAGUGUUCAUUGCAUGACUGACAGGUUUGGGAUGCUACAACAGGACAACGACAAUAUAUAUUUGAGGGUCAUGAGGCUCCUGUGUAUUCUGUCUGCCCUCACUAUAAAGAGUCUAUUGAGGUAUUUGUCACCUCAUGAAGUUGACUUCUACUGGUUUGGCCCUCAUUUUCGUUUAUUUAUUGAGCGAGUGAGCGCAUGUUCACAUGCUUCAAUCAACAUUUUCUCUGAUGGUGUUGAUGACUCAUCUCUGAAAUUUUUCAGGAGAGUCAUCUUUUAUCCUUCUAUCACCAUAUUUGCAAUCUCUCUCACUUAGUAUUUCUUGCAGUUCAUAUUCUCCACUGCUACUGAUGGUAAAAUCAAAGCAUGGUUAUAUGAUUGUUUGGGAUCUAGAGUUGAUUAUGAUGCUCCUGGACACUGGUGUACCACAAUGGUGUAUAGUGCAGAUGGAUCAAGGUGAAAAUAGCGUCACUAUCGUGUAGAAGUUUAAGGCAUGACUGUCUGCUAGUAUGUCUAGUUUCAUUGUUAUGUUUAGUGCACAAUGACCACAAUUCAUGCAUAUACGCAUGGAUCUAAUAGAAUAGUUUGAUCAUAAUAUGGUAGUUCUGCUGAAACCAUUGCAGAUGCUGUUACCCUAAGACUUUUGUCUGGCCUGAAACUUCCAACACAAUUUUUUGAAAUAUUUCAUAGCUGGGUUAUUAAGACUUUGUGAGCUGUUAUAGCAGCAUAUGACAUCUGGUGCUGUAUCAUUUUUAAAAUUAAAUACUGCUGUUUUUUAUUUAAAUAAGAGGGUAAUAAACAUAUCUGAAAUGUUAAUAUAAUAACACUAAAUUCUAUGCAUGGUUUCUGUUAAAUAAUGACUUUGUGAGUAUUGAUUGUCAAAAUGUUAUAAAUGAUAACAAAAAUUAUAUACGUGAAUUUAUAAUGAUUGCUCUGUACGUUUAUGAUGUAGAGAGGAUGCCUGAAACUAUUAAGAGUAGCAUUUACCUAGUUGGCAUGGAUACUUCAAAUUGCGUGCCGUAUCUGAUAUGCAUGCUUGUUGGAUACUUCUAGGAUAUGUGUGCAAUACUUAUUUUGAGUGCCCUGUUUUUCAAAAUUUGAACAAACAAUUUGGGAUGCUUCACGGAUAUGCCUAAGAUACCCUUGAUACUUAUAAGAAUGAGGAGUGGGUCUUUAUUUUCUUUUAUUUAUUGAUGAAUGUUGACAUUUUAAUGACGAAUACUUUAUUUUGAAGUUGGUUAUGUUGAUAUUAUUGUAUAGAGUACCAAUUACAAUGUUUUAGAGGCCAUCACAAUGUUACAAAUGCAGUUGUUUCAGACAAUGUAUAAUAGUUAACUUUUGUUUCGGUUGACUUUUUCAAGAUGAAUUCGAUGACAUUUAUUGCAAUCAACACUUUAUGAUUUUGUUGUGACCUAAUCAUUCAUUAUUCACAUCUUUGUUCCAAAUUGCAGGCUAUUUUCUUGUGGAACUGGUAAAGAAGGUGAUUCACAUUUAGUUGAAUGGAAUGAGACCGAAGGAGCAAUUAAGAGAAUGUACUCUGGCUUUAGGAAACGCUCAUUAGGUGUCAUCCAGUUUGACACAGCUAGGAACCGCUUCUUAGCUGCUGGAGAUGAAUUUAUGAUUAAGUUUUGGGAUAUGGAUAAUACAAACAUCCUAACAACUGCAGAUGCUGAUGGUGGAUUGCCUGUUAGUACAAUAAUAUCCAUCGGUAAACUUAUUUUUAUUCCUUGUCUAAUAAGGAAAUAAAUAUUGACAAAUUUGCGUGACCCUUUAUUGCAGGCAAGUCCUCGAUUGAGAUUCAACAAAGAAGGCUCUUUGCUUGCAGUCACGACAAGUGAUAAUGGAAUUAAGAUCUUAGCAAACAGUGAUGGACAACGUUUGAUAAGAAUGCUAGAGAGCAGGACAUACGAGGGCUCUCGAGCCACUUCUCAGCAGAUUAACACUAAAGUAAAAUUUUACAUAUCCUGAUAAAUUUCAUAGAGAACUCAUAUCUUGCCAUGCUAAUAAUUGCAAUAUGUCGAUUUUCCAGAUUCGUCCCAAGCCUGCAUAAAUUCACGUAUCAGUGCCAAGCUAUGUAAUAAGAAUUAUGCACAUUGAGAAUAGUUUGCCUUGGUUGUGUAACAUAAAAUCUUUAAUUGAUGCUGAUGGAGAAAAUUAUUUCCAGGUUGAGUCCUAUCUAUAGGAGAAGAAUUGGCUUUUUUGAGUCUCCAUAUUAGGAUCAUCGAAGCAAAUUUAUGUCCUUGUAUUAUGUACUAGAAUACAUAAGAUUACUUAUUGGACUGGUUCUUAAUUAUCAUGUAUUUGUACAUGUGAACUUACUGAGAAUCCAAAUUGUUGUCCUUCUGAGAUUCAUAUAUGGAGACUGAAUCUAUUCUGAUUAAUUUUAAAAAAACACAAUUUAAUGGUUAAGAUAAAUGUUAGAACAUUGAGCACAUGCAAAUUGGGACAUCGGUUUUUUGAUAAGUUAUUUCUUAAUGGUUGUUAUGCUUUUAUUUUAAUAUUAUAUCCAAAGUGAUUAGUGCAUGAAAUUACCAUAAUGGAAAUAGUUUUUCACUUGAUUCAUGGAUGGGCAUUGGAGCUGGGUUCAAUCAUUGCAGCAAACACAACAGUCAAUAUAUUUUUAAAAAGUAUCUGUGCAUGAUCCUUGUUCUCAUAUAAGAAAAUGUUUCCUUGUGCAGCCUCAAAUUGUUAACACGAUGGGUUCUGUUUCAAAUGUUUCUGGCUCUCUAGUGGCUACCCUUGAGCGCCCGGAUAGAAUUUCACCUGCAGCGUCAAUGAGUGCCUUGGUUAGUAAUGGUGUGCUGCCAUGAUAUGCAAUUCCUAUCAAGUGUGCAUUUCUAAUAUUAAAAUCUGGAUCAAUAUUGCAGACUACUAUGGAUGCUACUAGAACAGCAGACAAACCAAAAAUCUUGGAUAAUGCUGACAAAUUCAAUAUCUGGAAACUGGCUGACAUUGUCGAUUCUAGUCAGCUCAAAGCUUUGCGGUUGCCAGACUCCAUGUCAACAACAAGCAAGGUAUAUAGUAGAUAUACAGAGUUUAUUUCAAUUAUGUUUCUUGGUUUGGCAUAUUAAUCAAUAUAUCCGAGGGAGCAAAAUUUAUAUUUAUUGAUUACUAAUAAUUUUAAGAAUGAUCUGUUUCUCAAAAUUACAUCUUGAUUUUUUACAGGUGCCAACUUCUGUUGGUUUUGAUUCUUUAAGGCAUGACAUUUUUUUAGCUUUAUUAUCAUGUAAAUACUCUUUCUUCAUAUUCGAAUUCUCUUUCAGAUAUUCAGGCUGAAUUCUUUCUCCUCCUUGUAUGAGUAUGGGUUCUUAGACUUGAUUUAUGGUCCUACAACUUGAAUGAUGCAAAGUAUAAUUUAGGAGUUUUGAGUUGUGUUAGCCAGAGCAGCACGUUUAGAGGAGUACAAUUCAAGUGUUAGAAUCUAAAGCUAGUUUAGGAAAGCAGACUCCUACUUUUGUUUUGUUUAGGCUGAUAAGUCAUGUGGCUUUGUAAGUCAAAACAUUAACAUUUUUUGCAAGCCUUGCUAAUUAUAUUAAUGAGCUAGAACUUCUAUUUCACACCUUGAAUCCCUAGUCCAUCUCGUGGUGCAUCUCUGAAUCGUAAAAUACCAUCCUUUGAUGUUCUUUCACUAAAACAAAACCUUGCUGUUAUCAAUGCUACUUUAGAAUACCUAGUUUUAUUACCUAGUGCUAGCUGAAACCGUUUCACUGAAACUCAAUCAGCCCCUUCAAAUCUUUUAUGCAUCAUUGAAAAUUGUGGCUAUUUUUACUGGUUCAGCAUUCUAGCUAUUGCACUCAUUGCAGGUUGUGCGGCUCUUGUAUGCGAACUCUGGCCUGGCUGUGUUGGCUCUUGCUUCCAAUGCCAUUCAUAAGCUGUGGAAAUGGCAACGUGGCGAAAGAAAUCCCAGCGGCAAGGUUAGCAUAUGGUAUAUGCAAGGUUGGUUGUACCAGUAGAUACUAAUGUAUACCGACCGUAGACCGUACCAUACUGUAUUGAUACCGAACCAGUUUGUGGUACAGAAGGCAUACCGAGUGUCGGUACGCCGAACCAGCCCCUAUACCGAAUGUACUAACACUAUAAUAGAAUGGUAUUGGUACGGGUUCGGUAUCGAGGCAGCAAACUUUGGUUAUAUAUAUGUCAGUUAGGAUCGAGUCUAUACAUUUGUUUUAUAUAAAUUUAACCUCUAGUAUGUUGCCAGUCCACUGCAUCUGUUGCACCUCAGUUGUGGCAACCAGCAAAUGGUAUUGUUAUGACCAAUGAAAUAAAUGAUAGCAACCCAGCUGAAGAAUCAACUGCUUGUAUUGCUCUGUCAAAGAACGACUCAUAUGUUAUGUCUGCAUCUGGUGGAAAGGUUUCAUUGUUCAACAUGAUGACAUUUAAGGUACAAAACUUCUUAACCCCAUCUUCCAUGUGUAUAUUCUGGAAGUCAUUUCUUCCUGCUAAUGCUAUGUAAUAUGUUAUAAAACAUCAUGUAAUUUGUUUUAAUAAUGCUAUGGAGUUAAUACUAUAAACAUGUUUCACAGGUUAUGACAACCUUCACAUCACCACCUCCUGCAGCCACUUUUCUGGCAUUUCAUCCUCAGGAUAAUAAUAUUAUUGCAAUAGGAAUGGAAGAUUCUAGCAUUCAAAUAUAUAAUGUCAGGAUUGACGAGGUGAUGGCAUGGUUCUAAUUUUUUAUUUUCUGGUUGAGAAUUGCAAAUUAAUCCUCAUAUUUAAUUUCUAAUGAAUUAUUUCAUUCUGCCAGUUGCACUACACUAAAGAGCUCUGACUAGUUUAUGUUUUCCAAGUAGUGGCAAGAACAGCUGUUUCCACUUUCACACACACACAAAAAAGCCCCAUUAGUGUUAUAUUACUUUUAAUGUUUACAAGCUCGUCAUGUUUAUUAGUAAUUUUUUAGCUGUUGUAACCUCAUCAUCAUAAUCAUUGCCUUUCUUAUGUACAUACCAGUUUAGAUAUGCUAGGAGAUACGUAAAAGAUUAUAUCAUAAGCACGUAAUUAUUGUUCUCUGGAAGGAUAUUGGCCUUGAGGUCAUGGAUCUUUUGUCAACCAAGAUAUAGGAGGAAGAAGAUCUCUCCUACUCUCCUUUUAACUCUUUCCAACUCUACAGAAAACUUAUAUUGCUCCUUGGUGUAUGGGCUUAAAUUUCUUAACCAUUAAUAUCCUCUAUAUUUAAAUGCCUUUAGGUUUGGUUGAGGGUUUGAUUUCCAUUAAAAAUGUUUACUAUUAAGCUUUAAUUUUGCUAUUUUUUCUGAAACUAUAUUCUGUCCACUCAGUAUUCAUUUCCAUUAUUUUACGCUUGUAGGUCAAAACUGAACUCAAGGGUCACCAAAAAAAAAUUACAAGCCUUGCAUUUUCCCAGUCAUUAAAUGUCCUGGUAUCUUCAGGAGCUGAUGCACAGGUAUAUGGAUAAUUAACGGUAUAGUACUUUGUGGAUCAGUAUAUAUCACAUAUUUGAACUGUGGUUUGCAAUUUAACCAUCUAUUGAUAUUUAAACAUAGAUUUACUUCUUGAUUCCACUUGCACUUGGCUGUUGGAAGCAAAAAAAGUUAAACUCUUUAGGUUAGAAAUAAGGUAAAUUUGCUUUUCUCAGUGAAUAAACAGUUGCUCCAACCCUUCAACCAGACAUGGAGAGAGAGAGAGUUGCAACAUAUGAAAAAUUAGCACCACAUUCCUUUUCCCUUGUAUUUUUUUUUGUUGCAUUCUUUGUUUACCAUGGACUUUAAUACAUUGAUGUAAAUUAAAAUGCAGCUUUGUGUAUGGAACAUUGAUGGAUGGGAGAAGAAGAAAUCAAGAUUCAUUCGAGCACCAGCUAGUCAUGCAGCUCCAUUAGCUGGGGAAACCAGGGUUCAGUUCCACAAUGAUCAGGCACAUCUCUUAGUUGUGCACGAAAGCGAACUUUCAGUCUAUGACAGCAAACUUGAAUGCCUUCGCUCGGUUAGUUCUUACCUCUAGUUAUCACAGUUGUAGUUUUCCAGUUGGCAAAAAAAGAAGAUAAAAUCCCUUAUACUCCUACAAUUGCAGAAGUUUAAUGACCAAGAUAUAUCCUUAUAGAAAUGCUUUUGUGGGCUACUAGUAUGUUUUACGUCUGUUACUAGUUUGUCCAUGCCUGUAGCAGGGAAACUUCGUAGAUCUCAGAUACUGUGGUUAAUUCACAAGUACCUUAUGGUGCGUCACUAUUCUUAAGAAGGAUUUCCUUUUACCAUCUGCUCUAGCAUUCCAGUAUAAUCUUCAGAGCAGAUGAAGGAAAGAAUUCAGCAGAACAGUGAUUGGUUUGGUCCUGAUUAAAUCCAAACCACACUUCUGUUUUUAGGCUUGCACCUGCAAAUAUUUGGGAAGUUGGGACCUUGGAGUUAUCCUGAAGAAUAUAUUGGUUAUCAUUUAUGACCAUAGGUGAUAUUAGUUCACAGGAUUUCUGACUUCUGGAAUGCUGUGCAUUCCGUUAAGUUUUUAGCAGUAGAUCCAUUAUGUAUCAUCUUUUAUAGCAUUAUCUGCAACAUAAAUGCUUUGAGAUUUUGGUGAAGUGGAUCUUGGUUUGUUAUAAAAGUGGAUGUUCUUAUGAUGCCAGUGUAUUUUGAUCGGUGGAAGCAGGAGAUAGGUCUGACUUUGACAUGCAUUGUCUUGUUAAAUUUGUUUUUUACUUUUAUUUGCAUUCCUCAUCUCUGAUUGUAGGUUUGACUUAUAUUCAAUUGCUCUUAUUUUUCCAUGACUUCAUUUCCUGUAAUGCAGUGGUAUCCUAGAGAUGCCCUUGCCGCACCCAUUUCAUGUGCGAUAUACUCCUGUGAUGGCCUGUUGGUAUAUGCUGGAUUCCGUGAUGGUGCAGUUGGAGUUUUUGAUGCAGACAGCCUGAGGCUCCGAUGCCGCAUUGCACCUUCUGCCUAUACAUCCCCUUCAGUUCCCAGGUAUUCCAGCAAUUUCAUCGCAUGAAUCUCCAGCAUUAUAUGAAGGCAAAGAAAAUGAGCUACUUUCAGUGAAUGAAUAAUUAAAUUACUAGAUACUUUCCAACUAUAGAAGCAGAAGUUCAGCUAUUAUCUUUAAAAAAAUAUUAAAUUAUGUAUUUGCAAAACUUUUCUACUAUCUAAUUUUUGAGAUAAUUCUCAUGGUUUUCAUCUAACAUAAAUGUAUAUUUGCCCGUUUAUCUUUCUAUAUACUGAUUUUGUUCUCUAACAUGGGGCUGAUAUGGAGUUUUUUACCCAAUCACUUUGCAGCACCAUGACAGUCUAUCCUUCGGCAAUUGCUGCCCAUCCAUCUGAAGCCAAUCAAAUAGCAUUGGGAAUGAGUGAUGGAGCAGUCCAUGUGGUGGAACCAUCAGAUAUAGAACCAAAAUGGAGAGCUCUGCCCUCCCAGGACAAUGGAACCCUCCCAUCCAUCCAUCUCAAUCCAGCUUUGAGCAAUCAGGUAUCAGAAGCUCCUCCAAGGUGACAAAACCAGUGUACACGUGUAUAGGGAGGUGAACAGGGCAACCGACUGGGUCGCCUUCUACGCAGCGCAACAUUCCGGAGAGAUCAUCUAGAUGCAUCAGGGGACUAGCCCUUUACAAUUAUGCCAUUUUGUAUCUCUUAACUCUGCUGGCUGCACCUACACCAGGGUAGGGUGCCGUUGUACCCAAAAAAAAAAAAAAAAGGUAACAAAACCAGUAGCUCUCGAGCUAUGCGGGCGAUCAACCUUUUUAUCUGACACCUUGCUGUCAAGGGAGAUUCAAUGUCUUCCCAGUUGUAAAGCUUGUUAUAAUUUGUUGGGGUUUUGAUUUUUUUCUUCUUAGAAGCCGGAAAAGUAUUUUCAGGUUCACAAUAUGUAAGAUAUGGAGUGCGCAUGGUAUGGACUAGUCUAAUUCUUUUUGUUCAUAGAGUAGUCAAUGCAUAAACCCUGAUGAUUUGUUGUUUUUGUUGCAUAUUGUUGGGUAAUAUUUGAAUUGUGUAGUGUGUAACUUGUGUUGCUUUCUCUUCUCUGGUGAUGGAGUCAGACAGGAUAAUUUUGUUCAUAAUCAUCAUACCUGUCUUAUGGAGAGUUAAGAAGAACAGAGUUGUUCGGAGGACCGGAAACAUCUCAUGACUGUGAACGUGAAUGCAGUCUGCUUUCUAAUUCCAUGCACUACACUCUAAGCCCUGAAGAUUUAUGUCCGCACUACCAUCAUGAGAUCAAGCACCAAAAUCAGUUGCAAGAGCUUCCACAGGAUGUGCUGAUUGAAUUUUCUGAUCCGAAUUGGAGCUGAGUAUAUUAACUCUAUGCAUAAGCGGUUUGAAGGCAGUGCCAUGGGAGUGCUUUCAUGGCAUAGCCAACCGUGAAAACUUCCUGGUGCCAGUUCACCAGGUGAUGUACAGGAGCUUGAAGUUUAGAGGGUUAGAGGUUGUCCCGAUGCAUCAUAUCUAAAUCUUGGCUAAUGCUCAACAUCUGCCUUUCUUCAUCAACUGGAGCUGGGAAAAAGAAGUGAAAAGGAUACUGUAAUAAUUUGUCUCAAUUUGUAUUGAUAUGACCUUGGUGCUCCAAGCAGUUGUUGUAUUUGAUCUUUUUCUUUACCCAAUCAUCGCUGUAGUUUGAUUGACCAGCAAUUGCUCAAAAAGAUAAAGAUCGUGAGUCAUUUGUGAUUCCCAAAUUUCGCAGUUGAGCCACUUCAUGUCCUCGUAAUUUUUCCUUUUCCGUCUGAAUGGCUCCUGCAGGAGCUGUGCUUGGCUGAUACUGGAGACGCUCGCUCUGACAAAUGCCUUGGUAAUGGAAAAUUAAGCAACUGAUGUAAAAUCUUCGUAGUUGCUCCUUGGCAGUAAUAUGAAACUUCGAAAACUAAGAGCUUUCUUUCUUCUUUUUUUUUUGAACUUGGUAGUGUCGUAGUGUCAAUUGUGGUGAGGAGAGAUCUGGAUUAAACUUCCUUGCCUUUGUUAAGCAGCAGAGGUCAUUAGUUGACAUAUCUGAAAAAUUCUCUAAAUAUAAAAAUAUUAAUAAAAAUAAGUGAAUUACGUUACCAUAAUAAAUAAGAAUAUCUUUUUCUUGCCGCGAAUGAAUGCCAAUAUAUAAGGAAAUAUUAUCAUUGGCCUUAUAAAUUGAUUAAAAUAGUCCUUUUUUUUAAAACAAUACGCUCCCAUUGAGCAUGGGCGAAUAUUUAUCAAUCAAACUCCCUGACGACUGCUGUCCGAAUAAGCAAUUCUUAAUUCUAGCUUGACCGAAGAACGGGAAAGGCUGUUAGGUGUGAGGUGAGCACCAGAUAGCCGUCCAUAUUCAAUCGGACGGACGGCUAACGCGAGUGGAAGGGUUUUUUUGGGUUUUUGAAUGGAUGCGGCGAAUCCGCUCCCUGGUGCGGCUUCGCCAAUGAACCAACGGUCAUAUUUUUAAAAAUUUUAGAUAGCCUCUGGCAACGGUAAUAUUUUUGAAUGCAGCCGUCCUUACCUUUAUAUAUCUGAGCCCCUCCUUCCGCCUCUCCUCAAGCCUCUAUCAAUCAAUCAUUCAUCCACCGCCCUGCGGCUCUUUUCAUUACUCCCCCAAUCACCUUGAAGGUAAGCUUCCCUUAUACGAUCCGAGACAUGGAUUUCCACAGCCUAUCAAGGAGAGAUUUGCAGACGCUCUGCAAGAAGAACCGGAUUCCAGCCAACAUGACCAAUGUCGCCAUGGCCGAUGCCCUCCAAGCUCUCCAAGCCGUAAGCAUCAUCUCCUCCUUGUUUCUCUCCCUCUCUCUUUUUUUCCGUUUUUACCCCAUUUUUCCAUUUCUCUUCUGAUUUCAAAACUCCAACUCUAAAUCAGGUUGAAGGUAUUGAAGAAAUCAAUGAAGCAUCGCAGUUCCAAUCCCCUGGGAAAGCAGAAGUGAGGUCCCCAAACCCACCUCGUACAUCCCGGAGAACCUCGGCUCGGAGAGCACCCGUUCCAGAGGAACCCAGAGAGCAACAGGGGAGUCCCCUGCCUCGGGCUCGUCGUGUGGCCAUUAAAGCUUCUGAGAUCAUGAAACUAGUUUCUGAAGGCGAGGAAGAAAAGAAACAGGGGCCAGAGGAGGCCCCCAAGAGCCCGGACGUUUGCACCGGUCAGAAGCCGCAGGCAGCACCGAGCACACGAAGAAGAGCCAUCAAGAAAGAAGAAAAGCCGCCUCAAGAAGAGCAGCAAAAGCAAGAAGAUGGGUCGAAAGAGAUUCCCAAGACUCCAGCAGCUGCCCGGAACACUAGGAGAAAGGCAAGCAAGGAAACAGAAGGACCCCAAGAUCCUCUUGAAGUACCCAAUACCCCAGCCAUCCGAUAUAGCCUGAGAGCAUCAGCCCGAAGGGGAGCCCAAACCCCCAUGGCAGGAGAAGAAAAGCAAGAGGAAACUGUGGGUCUAAGAACUACUCGCAGAACAAGGCAAUCUACAAGGAAACAGAUAGAAGAGACUGCCGUGGAUGAUACGGCAAAUGUUGGAAGGAGGGCCACAAGGGCAAAAGGUAUUGUCAAGAUGGUAUCUUUGGCCCAAGAUGAAGAACAAGACGAAAAAGGUGAGACUAUAAGUUUUUCGUUCUUCCCUUCUUCUUUUUUCCCCUCUGUUUCUUUUUCUUGAUGAUUGAUGGAUUCCACACAGAUAUCACUACCGAAGAUCCCAUCGAUCAGAAGAAUGAUCCUUUGCAAAUUUCUGACAUGAAAUCUGAUGAAAUCCUAAUGGACGAGGAGAUGAAGCCUGAGGUCCAGAACGGAGCCAUUUCUGAUUCCAGAGAUGCAGGGCCAAAGAAGGGUGGGAACGAUGGAGUCCAUAACUUGAGCACGGAUAAGGAUGACGAUGAAAUGGCUCAAGAAAUCGAGACUCGUACUCCAAUGGGGAAGAAUCUGGGUAAUGAAGCCGACGGACAACAGAUAUCAGAGGAGUUACCGGAGGAGGAGAGCGGCAAGCAAGAAUAUCAUGUCCUAUCUGGACCAGAAGAAUCACCGAUCAGAGGGCUGGUAUUCUCGGAACCUACCCCAGAGACAAAUCAAGAGCAGAAGGUAAUUCCGACGGUGAGAGAUGGGAGGUCCGAAGAAGAACGCGGAGGCGGUGAAGAUCUGGGUUUCGCUCUCCCAGAUCCUUCCCUCUCCGACGAAACCCCGGCGAACAUCGAAGACUCUGGCCACCAACUGCUGGAAACCCGAGCUGCUGGAGACUCACCACUCAUUGAAGAGAAUCUGACGGUCGAACUCCACAUCAAGAUCGAGGCGACCAGCGAUCAGAUCCCGGACGAUCUCAUCCAGAACAAAGAAGAAGAAGCGAGCCUAGAUCUCUCACCAACCGGGAACAGUUUGGAGGAAACCAAGGUUUUUGGCGACGAACUGCCGGUGGAUCAGGCACCUGAGACCGAAACCUCUACUGAUCUACAAGCUAAUAUAGAGAAUGGAGACGCCCCAGCCGAAUUCCCCAAUGAGAUUCUGGCCCCCAAAACCGAUGAUCCCGAUGACGGUGUCGAGAUCCCGGAGGGCGUCGGGGAAUCCAACGCCGGUAAACUGAUCGCAACUUCCUCUCCUCUCCAUCAAUCUCCCUCCUCAGACGCAACCAGAUCUCCAGCUAAGACCUUGGCCGUGGGUGGAGAUCAGACAGGACAUCCUGCGGACUCUGCCGUCGGAUCUCCAGCGAAGACCUCAGCUCAGGUCGGUGAUCUGAUCGGAGACCCAGCGGACUCCGGCAUAGAAUCUCCAGAUAUCGAGACCUCUGCUCAGGUCGGAGAUCUCAUCGGACAAUCUCCGGCCAGGACAGUGGCCGAGCUUGGAGAUCCGGCCGGAGGAGACCUCACAGACUCCGACCUCGGCGCCGGAGAUCACGGGAGCUACAAGACCGACAGCAAUGAGACCAUUCCGGAGAUCGAGGGGCGCGAGAAGAAGAGGGCGGCGGAGGAGCGGGUGCCGGUUGAUAUUUAUACGACGGAGAGUGGAGGCGGUGACGAUAACAAGAAUGUACCCAGUGGCGGGUUGACCAUGGUGGAAGUCGGCUGUCGAGAAGCGGAGGUGAAAUCCAAAGCAGAGAAGCCGAGCCCGUCCUACUAUACUAGUUUGAGUCUGAGAAAGCUCAAGGCAUUAGUAAGGGAGAAGGCCACCAAUCUCGACAAUAAGGUAAAAGGAUUUGUUACAAAGCAGCUUAAACUUUUUAAGUAAUCGUUUAGUUUGAGUAAUUGUUUUAAGAUUAUGUUAGUUUAGAAUGAUGAUAUGCCUCUUAUUUCGUUGGUUAGGUGGAAGGCGGAAGGGCAGCUCUUACCGAGCUGAAUGACAACCGUAUCUGAUGGAUGAUGAUGAUGAUGAUGAUAGAUGAUGAUGAUGAUGAUGAUGGAUGAUGUGCUGAUGGUUUUGCAAUUGAGAGAAACAGAAGGAUACAUGAGCUCAAGAUGAAUAAAUAAUUGUCAUUUUUGCUUCCAUUUUGCUUUCUGCUAUUGCAUUUUUGGAUGUUAUAUGAGUUGGGUUUUGGCUGUGAAACCAAGGUUUCUACACCCUCGUAUUUCCUUUUAUUUUUUAAUUUCUCCUUUUAUUGCCUGACUGUUUCUAGUGACAAAGAUUAAUAUUGAUGGUGAAUGGGUUUUUGUAUGGAGCUCUUGCUGCUCUUCUAAGCUGUGUUGCCCUGAUAAAAUUCUAUGCUUUUUCUCAAAGUGCUAGAUUAAUAGAAUAGUAGUCUGUUGUCCUCGUUUCAUUGUCUCAAUGUUGCAUUUGGUAAAGCUGGACUUGAUCCUCCUCUUUUCAGGAAACAAAAAAAAAAAGAAAAGAUAAUUGGAUCUCUUUUCCUCAAAUUUUUCCUGUUCGGUAAGUUGGAGUCAGCUACAAAUUUGAUAUACAAUGGCUGGCAAUAUCGAUUCGAUGAAAGAUGGCACACUUACAUGAAUGGUAGAUCAAAUGAUUUUUUCCCCUUCACUUUCCUUUCAUGAUUUUAACGAUUAAUGCUGGGUUUAGGUUGUGAUUUGUAAAAUCAAUACCUGCCAUUUCAUUUUUCUCUAUUCCCAUCGACGAUGGAGUUUUAUGCUUUCUGCAAUAUAUGUUGCACAUCCGAUCGUCUUCAGGACUAACAAUUGCAUUCAGGAAGGACUAGAUCUCUUCAUGUCUUUUUUUUUUGCUUUGAUUCGGAAGUAGCAAUUCACCUUCAGUCCAUUAAUGUGUCUCAUUUUUACUCUGAUCUAGAAUUUGUUAACUACCUCAUCAGACACAUACUGGACUUCAAUAUUGAGAAACAUUUUUACAGAUGCUCACGGGACAUUCAUUAAUAUAAUUUUGGCUGUUUCUUGUUAUAACUAAUGAAUAAUGUAUAUUUUUAUUGAGCAUUUGAGCAUCGGACCAGAGCAAUAUUUACUUUUUCAAAUUUAUUGACUAUAUUCAGUUCAAUGUUACCAGCCUAUCGAUUCUCUUCAAGAUUUACAGAUCUAACUCCCACUGUCCAAAUGAAUAGCUUUAGAAGUUACCAUUCAUUUUGUGAAUUCUUUAUGUAGAUUCCAAGAUCAAGAGUCAUUGCUCAAACGUUUAGGUGAAAGCAAAGUGAAAAGUUCUAAAAUAUCGAUAGUUUUUAACUAUACGAGUCACAUUCAUAAGUUGACCUAAAUAUGUGCAGAUCAGGUACAUAUUUUUCUCCAACUCAAUGUGAUCCAGAUUUGACAUAAAUAUAAACUUGUUGAUUGCGUCCUACUGUAGACAUUACAUUGUUCUUUUGGCAUAUGAUAUGAUGGAAUUACACUGUCCAUAAUGCUUCAAAAUAAUCUUAUCCACCCAUGAUUGUUUAUAAAAGAUAUAGCAUCAUACACAGUCAUAUGGUUUCAACAAAGAUACUAUGGACGGUAGUAUAUCAAGCACCAACGGGAAACAACUGCAUGCAUAUAACGUGUUUAGCCGUAAGCAUACUUGUAAUUGUCUAUCAGGCCUAAUCCAGUUUGCUGGUUUUCAUGGAAUCCAUAACGGUAGUAAUUGACUCGUUUUUGACGGUUAGCCAAAUAAAGAUCUUAAUUUUGUCGAGUGCAAAUGAUUAGCGUAUAUAGUAUUAGCAUGUGAAAAAAUAUGGAGAACUGAUAAGACUUAAUAGUAGAAGAAAUCAUUACCAUCAAAGAUUUCUUUAUCAUGUUUCUAAGAGUAUUGUUACAUGCCUCUGAUCAAAAGUUGCUCUUCAUUAUAACAAGUAAAGCAGAGGAAAUGGUCAUAAAAAACCUUCUCCCAGCCAAUUUAAAACCCUAACAGGCCAAUCUAGGGCAAUUCUCUCUAUCUGUCGUGGCAUGGAAGCUGUGGACUUUUUGAGGAACAAUAGCAUGCUGACAUGAUGGGCACAUAGUUAGCAUCGUUGGCUGUUUGUAAUGAUGAGCAUUCUGGAGUGGAGAUUUGAAUGCUUUGAGCUCCUGGAUCUCCUUUUGGAGCCUUCGGUUCUCUUCAGUUAGAUAUUUGCGCCACUGUUUCAAGUAUUUGUAGUCCACCUCAGUCUGCUUGAGCUUUGUUCUGAAUCAGAUGCAGCAAGUAGAGAAACUUGAGUUAUGAAAUAAUCAAGAAGUUAUAGAUGAUGAGACAAUGAUUAGAUCACGAUCAUGACAGAAACAAAGAGCUAUAUGGUACCGGGCUCUUCGGUUUUGAAACCACACUUCUACUUGACGGGGCAAGAGAUUUAGCCUCUUGGCUAUUGCAAGCUUUCGUUUCUGCAGUCAUGAAAUCCAGGCAGCCUAUUAUGAGAAUUAACUUGGUGACAAUUAAAAGUGUACUUACGUGAUCAUUUUGGUGUAUUAUAUGUGACAUUCUGGUUUUUAGGCAGAAAGUCCAAAGGGAUGGUUCAAGGAAAUAAAAAGGUCUUCUGCCACAAAUCAGCCAUGCUCAUCCAGCAUAAUGAUGAAGUGUACAGCUCUAAUGGGCUAGUAAUUAAGAUGCAGCAUGGAUCAUGGCGGGCCCUUCAUGAAUCUGAGUCAGUUUUAUGGGAAAAAAUAUAAAGAAAAAAUGAAUACUAGAAACAAGAUUUUUUGCUUUACUUUUUUUUGGAAGAAAAUCCAAGAAAAUUUCCAGUCCCAGUUCAAGCUCCAAAUUAAACCACCAACCAAGGCAGAUUAUAUAGGAUGCUCCUGUUUUGAUAAUGAAUAACUUGAUCUAACUAACCGGGUUCAGGGUGGUAUGCUCCUCAAAGCACUCUUCCAGAUAACAAGACUGCUCUUUUGAUAGCCUUAGCUUCUUACUUCCUCUGCCCCCGUCGCCUUCACCAUCAUUGUGACAUCCCCGAGAACCUCUUUCUGCUAUCAUGCUGUGAGAAGUCGAAGGUGAAGGCUUCACUGUCAUUACAUCGAGCCCACAUCGAGAUGUGGCUCGAUAAAUAUUCCCUGUUUCUUUUUGAAUCCAAAAAAAAAAAAGAAGAAACAUAUCAUCAAGUUUGGGACAGCCAUAUACUACAAGGCAUGAUGCAUAAAGAGAAAGAAGUAUCUCUUCUAUGUGAUGAGCUCAGUCUAUGAAAACAGAGACCUACCUGACUCAGUCUCAGUCGAGCACGGGAGCUUCAAUUCAAGUUCAAGGGAGGGGUGGAUCGUUGGUUGCACUCCGUCUUUGUCCAUCAAUUCAGGCUCUUGGCUUGUCGUACUUUGUUUACUACUGCAGUCACCAUUACAGAUUGAUAAAGCUGCAUCCAUAGCUCAAAUCUCAUAGGAAGACGCAUGCAAGGAGAUGAGUAGCAAUGGGGCUUUAUAGAAGUGGAUGGAGUCUGGAGGUGAGAGAUGGGCCUCAGAUGGUGAUAGGCAUGAGUGCAAGACAGCAAGUUGAAGGAGGGGCACGAGAAAAGGAGAGUGAUGAGAAAAUUCCCACCCUUGUCUUCAUCAUCACAGGGUGUCCUCCACAUUGUCGCAAAGGAAAAGAUGGCAUUGAUUGCUUUCAUACUACAACCUUCCAAUAAUUUGCAUGGGCACCAGCUCCCCCUUAAUUCCCUUUGGAUCCUAACUUUCUGUUUCUUUUUGGUUAACACUUCCAAGCCGAAGGCCGAAGUCAUGUUUGCCGGUGCUUGUUUUUUGGGUCCUACCAUAUCUAAGCUAGCCUCGCUAGUCAUAGAAAUAUGCCACGUGUAGAAGAAACUUAUAUAUAAAGAAUUUUAAAUUCAGCUACUUUUUGUUUUGUAAUUAAUAUAUAUUGUUAAAAAAAGGAGGCAAUUAUUGGGCCUGUAUUUGCUUGCGCCUUUAUUUGGAGGCUAUGCAGCAGGGAGUGUUGGGCCAUGGAUCAUGCGACUUCAUGAGAUGGCAGUAGAAUCCCAAAAUUAUGUGCAUUUCUUAAAGCAUCCUGUACACUGGGAGAAAAAAAUAUAAUAUCAAAAACAAGUGUUGAGGUAGAAAUUUAUAAUUUUAGAAAGUAAAAAUUAUCUUUAAAAUAGUGUAUGCGGAUGUGCAUGCAUAUAUGGGCGCCUGCAUGCCAUGGGUGCUGCAUUUAGACUAUUUGAGAGAAAGAACUAAAGGAGAACUAUUUGUGAUCAUAGAAACAUAUGCAAUGAAGGUUAGGGAGGCUCAAAUGAGUCAAAUAUAGGAUAUGUUAUGGUGUUAGGAAAAUGGGCGAGUAUUUAAGGAGAUCAAGAAUUUAAAAGUUUAUUAAAAAAAAAUUAGAAAAUGCCUACAAUGGUGCAUCCCUAAAAUAUUUGAAUUUAAAUAGUUAAAAAGAUACUAUACUAUAUAACAAAAUUCUAUCUGUGUGUGUGUUUGUCUUCUUCUUUCUUUUUUUUCUUUUAUUUUUUUUUAGUACGCCGGCUCCUCACACCAAACGAAUAUGAGUACAACUAACAAAAUCAGAAAAAAAGAAGUUAUCUAAGUGGGUCAGGAACAUCUACCUGAUUCACCCAUAGGAAGCUCCCAGAAUGAUGUGUCGCAUAGGAGACCACCUAGUCAGUGGCUGUGUUUACCAACUAGUAAACAUAUGCAGUCCUGAAAGCGCCACAGUCCUCGGUCAUCCUUUGUAUGUCUUGGAUCAGAGAUAGCCCAUCCGCCACGGUACGUCGCCCGCUGAUCAUUUUGAUCACAAAGGCCGAGUCAUCCUCUAGGUAAAUAUACUCGACACCUAGAGUGUCUCGCGUAGACGACACACUCCCAUGCCGCCCGCAAUCUACUCCACUGGCCGAGAUGUCGUAAAUCCGGCACCUACCUACCGCUACAAAUCUAGAGUGGUGGUCUCUGAUCACAAAUUCAACAACUCCCCUCGCGCCCUGCUCCGCAGCACUGCCAUCAAA
RNAcentral lists this long non-coding RNA (34258 nucleotides) under Phoenix dactylifera (date palm). RNAcentral describes it as "long non-coding RNA (PDAC_LNC003076)". Lineage: Eukaryota; Viridiplantae; Streptophyta; Magnoliopsida; Arecales; Arecaceae. The record is from RNAcentral.